UAGCUCCUGGAUUCAGCGGCGGACGGGUGAGUAAUGCCUAGGAAUCUGCCUGGUAGUGGGGGAUAACGUCCGGAAACGGGCGCUAAUACCGCAUACGUCCUGAGGGAGAAAGUGGGGGAUCUUCGGACCUCACGCUAUCAGAUGAGCCUAGGUCGGAUUAGCUAGUUGGUGGGGUAAAGGCCUACCAAGGCGACGAUCCGUAACUGGUCUGAGAGGAUGAUCAGUCACACUGGAACUGAGACACGGUCCAGACUCCUACGGGAGGCAGCAGUGGGGAAUAUUGGACAAUGGGCGAAAGCCUGAUCCAGCCAUGCCGCGUGUGUGAAGAAGGUCUUCGGAUUGUAAAGCACUUUAAGUUGGGAGGAAGGGCAGUAAGUUAAUACCUUGCUGUUUUGACGUUACCAACAGAAUAAGCACCGGCUAACUUCGUGCCAGCAGCCGCGGUAAUACGAAGGGUGCAAGCGUUAAUCGGAAUUACUGGGCGUAAAGCGCGCGUAGGUGGUUCAGCAAGUUGGAUGUGAAAUCCCCGGGCUCAACCUGGGAACUGCAUCCAAAACUACUGAGCUAGAGUACGGUAGAGGGUGGGUGGAAUUUCCUGUGUAGCGGUGAAAUGCGUAGAUAUAGGAAGGAACACCAGUGGCGAAGGCGACCACCUGGACUGAUACUGACACUGAGGUGCGAAAGCGUGGGGAGCAAACAGGAUUAGAUACCCUGGUAGUCCACGCCGUAAACGAUGUCGACUAGCCGUUGGGAUCCUUGAGAUCUUAGUGGCGCAGCUAACGCGAUAAGUCGACCGCCUGGGGAGUACGGCCGCAAGGUUAAAACUCAAAUGAAUUGACGGGGGCCCGCACAAGCGGUGGAGCAUGUGGUUUAAUUCUAAGCAACGCGAAGAACCUUACCUGGGCUUGACAUGCUGAGAACUUUCCACAGAUGGAUUGGUGCCUUCGGGAACUCAGACACAGGUGCUGCAUGGCUGUCGUCAACUCCUGUCCUGAGAAGUUGGAGUUAAGUCUCGUAACCAGAGCAACCCCUGCCUUAGUUUCCAGCACCUCCGGGUGGCCCUCUAAGAAACUGCCCGGCAACCCGAAAGAAAGGGGGG
Molecule: ribosomal RNA, 1099 nt
Filed under: Pseudomonas aeruginosa
Lineage: Bacteria; Pseudomonadati; Pseudomonadota; Gammaproteobacteria; Pseudomonadales; Pseudomonadaceae
Description: bacterial SSU rRNA
Rfam family: Bacterial small subunit ribosomal RNA
Source: RNAcentral